RNAcentral lists this ribosomal RNA (253 nucleotides) under uncultured bacterium. Its description in RNAcentral is "partial 16S ribosomal RNA". It matches the Rfam family "Bacterial small subunit ribosomal RNA", at positions 524 to 776 of the family's 1533-position model. The record is from RNAcentral.
UACAGAGGGGGCAAGCGUUGUUCGGAAUUACUGGGCGUAAAGGGCGCGUAGGCGGCCUGUUAAGUCGAACGUGAAAUCCCCGGGCUCAACCCGGGAACUGCGUCCGAUACUGGCAGGCUUGAAUCCGGGAGAGGGAUGCGGAAUUCCAGGUGUAGCGGUGAAAUGCGUAGAUAUCUGGAGGAACACCGGUGGCGAAGGCGGCAUCCUGGACCGGCAUUGACGCUGAGGCGCGAAAGCCAGGGGGGCAAACGGG